RNAcentral lists this ribosomal RNA (434 nucleotides) under uncultured Ruminococcus sp. Its description in RNAcentral is "bacterial SSU rRNA". It matches the Rfam family "Bacterial small subunit ribosomal RNA", at positions 341 to 792 of the family's 1533-position model. Lineage: Bacteria; Bacillati; Bacillota; Clostridia; Eubacteriales; Oscillospiraceae. The record is from RNAcentral.
ACGGAAGGCAGCAGUGGGGAAUAUUGCACAGUGGGGGAAACCCUGAUGCAGCGAUGCCGCGUGGAGGAAGAAGGUUUUCGGAUUGUAAACUCCUGUCUUAAGGGACGAUAAUGACGGUACCUUAGGAGGAAGCUCCGGCUAACUACGUGCCAGCAGCCGCGGUAAUACGUAGGGAGCGAGCGUUGUCCGGAAUUACUGGGUGUAAAGGGAGCGUAGGCGGGAUGGCAAGUCAGAUGUGAAAACUAUGGGCUCAACCCAUAGACUGCAUUUGAAACUGUUGUUCUUGAGUGAAGUAGAGGUAAGCGGAAUUCCUAGUGUAGCGGUGAAAUGCGUAGAUAUUAGGAGGAACACCAGUGGCGAAGGCGGCUUACUGGACUGUAACUGACGUUGAGGCUCGAAAGCGUGGGGAGCAAACAGGAUUAGAUACCCUGGUA